Molecule: ribosomal RNA, 309 nt
Filed under: uncultured bacterium
Lineage: Bacteria
Description: partial 16S ribosomal RNA
Rfam family: Bacterial small subunit ribosomal RNA
Source: RNAcentral
AGAGACAGCAGCAGCCGCGGGAAUACGUAGGUCCCGAGCGUUGUCCGGAUUUAUUGGGCGUAAAGCGAGCGCAGGCGGUUAGAUAAGUCUGAAGUUAAAGGCUGUGGCUUAACCAUAGUACGCUUUGGAAACUGUUUAACUUGAGUGCAAGAGGGGAGAGUGGAAUUCCAUGUGUAGCGGUGAAAUGCGUAGAUAUAUGGAGGAACACCGGUGGCGAAAGCGGCUCUCUGGCUUGUAACUGACGCUGAGGCUCGAAAGCGUGGGGAGCAAACAGGAUUAGAUACCCCUGUAGUCCCUGUCUCUUAUACA